AGAGACCUUCAAGGUCAUCAUUCUAGUUUUUGGUGGUGGAGGAGACGGUGGUGCAGGCGGUGUUGUUGGUGGUGGAGGAAUAAUUUUUUUUAUACCUGUGUUACUAUGAGUUGGACUUGGUGAUCCUUAGAUGUCCCUUCCAACUGUUUCUAUUCCAUGAUUCUGUGCGGUGGAGGAGGAGACAUAGAAUCCUUAUUGUUGGAAGAGACCUUCAAGGUCAUCGAUGUAGUUUUUGGUGGUGGAGGAGGCCAUGGUGGAAGAGGUGGUUGUGGAGGAAUUAUUUUUAGACGUGUGGUACCAUGAGUUUUACUUGAUGAUCCUAAUGUUUCUCAUCUAACUGUGGAUAUUCCAUGAUUCUAUGUGGUGGAGGAGGAGACAUACAAUCCUUAUUCUUGGAGGAGACCUUCAAGGUCAUCGUUCUAGUGUUUGGUGGUGGAGGAGGCGGUGGUAGAGGAUGUAGUGGUGGUGGUGAAGGAAUUAUUUUUAGACCUGUGGUACCAUGAGUUUUGCUUCAUGAUCCUUUGAUUUCUCAUCCAAUGUGGAUAUUCCAUGAUUCUAUGUGGUGGAGGAGAAGAUAUAGAAUCAUUCUUUUUUGAAGAGACCUUCAAGGUCAUCAUUGUAGUUUGUGGUGAUGGAGGAGGCGGUGGUGGAGGAGGUGAUGGUGGUGGUGGAGGAAUUACUUUUAUACCUGUGGUACCAUGAGUUUUACUUGAUGAUCCUAUGUUUCUCAUCCAACUGUGGAUAUUCCAUGAUUCUAUGUGGUGGAGGAGGAGACAUAGAAUCCUUAUUGUUGGAAGAGACUUAAAAUAUGAUUUUUAUAGCAGUGGUUGAUGAGGCGGUGCUGGUGGUGGUGGAGGAAUAAUUCUUUUUAUACCUGUGUUACUAUGAGUUGGACUUGGUGAUCCUUAUAUGUCCCUUCCAAGUGUUAAUAUUCCAUGAUUCUAUGCGGUGGCAGAGGAGACAUAGAAUCAUUCUUGUGGAAAGAGACCUUCAAGGUCAUCGUUCUAGUUUUUGGUGGUGGAGGAGGCGGUCGUGGAGGAGGUGGUGGUGGCGGAAUUACGUUUACACCUGUGGUACCAUGAGUUUUACUUGAUGAUCCUAAUGUUUCUCAUCCGACUGUGGAUAUUCCAUGAUUCUAUGUGGUGGAUUAGGAGACACAGAUUCAUUAUUGUUGGAAGAGACCUUCAAGGUCAUCGUUGUAGUUUUUGGUGAUGGAGGAGGCGGUGGUGGAGGAGGUGAUCUUGGUGGUGGAGGAAUUACUUUUAUACCUGUGAUACCAUGAUUUUUACUUGUUGAUCCUAAUGUCUCUCAUCCAACUGUGGAUAUUCCAUGAUUCUAUGUGGUGGAGGAGGAGACAUAGAAUCCUUAUUUUUGGAAGAUACUUAAAAGAUCAUUUUUAUAGCAGUGGUGGAGGAGGCGGUUUUGGUGGUGGUGCAGGAAUACUU
This 1445-nucleotide long non-coding RNA is filed under the name Cairina moschata (Muscovy duck). RNAcentral's name for it is "domestica (muscovy Duck (domestic type)) lncRNA (ENSCMMG00000000550.1)". The record is from RNAcentral. Lineage: Eukaryota; Metazoa; Chordata; Aves; Anseriformes; Anatidae.